ACGGGUGAGUAACACGUAUCCAACCUGCCGUCUACUCUUGGACAGCCUUCUGAAAGGAAGAUUAAUACAAGAUGGCAUCAUGAGUCCACAUGUUCACAUGAUUAAAGGUAUUCCGGUAGACGAUGGGGAUGCGUUCCAUUAGAUAGUAGGUGGGGUAACGGCCCACCUAGUCUUCGAUGGAUAGGGGUUCUGAGAGGAAGGUCCCCCACAUUGGAACUGAGACACGGUCCAA
Molecule: ribosomal RNA, 232 nt
Filed under: uncultured bacterium
Lineage: Bacteria
Description: partial 16S ribosomal RNA
Rfam family: Bacterial small subunit ribosomal RNA
Source: RNAcentral